GCUAGAAAACUGCAAGCCUCAGAAGGCUUGCGACUUGCCAACAAACUAAAGAAAGCUCACAUAAACUGGAAGCCACAGAAAAUGAAGAUGCUAGAUUAUACAGAUGAGGAAAAAGCAAUGGACACUGGUAUCAAAUGUGUAUAAAAUUUGUUUUUGUUUUGAAAACUGAAAAUCACUCAAAUAGUUCAAUUGCAUUCAAAACAGGUCAGGAAACU
Molecule: long non-coding RNA, 215 nt
Organism: Xenia sp. Carnegie-2017
Lineage: Eukaryota; Metazoa; Cnidaria; Anthozoa; Malacalcyonacea; Xeniidae
Exons: 2
Source: RefSeq, a predicted model, not a curated record